AGAGUUUGAUCCUGGCUCAGGACGAACGCUGGCGGCGUGGCUUAACACAUGCAAGUCGAACGAAAAGAGGGAAAGAGCUUGCUCUUUCCGGAAUUGAGUGGCAAACGGGUGAGUAACACGUAAACAACCUGCCUUCAGGAUGGGGACAACAGACGGAAACGACUGCUAAUACCGAAUAAGUUCCAAGGGCCGCAUGGCCCAUGGAAGAAAAGGUGGCCUCUACCUGUAAGCUAUCGCCUGAAGAGGGGUUUGCGUCUGAUUAGCUGGUUGGAGGGGUAACGGCCCACCAAGGCGACGAUCAGUAGCCGGUCUGAGAGGAUGAACGGCCACACUGGAACUGAGACACGGUCCAGACUCCUACGGGAGGCAGCAGUGGGGAAUCUUCCGCAAUGGGCGAAAGCCUGACGGAGCAACGCCGCGUGAGUGAUGACGGCCUUCGGGUUGUAAAACUCUGUGAUCCGGGACGAAAAGGCAGAGUGCGAAGAACAAACUGCAUUGACGGUACCGGAAAAGCAAGCCACGGCUAACUACGUGCCAGCAGCCGCGGUAAUACGUAGGUGGCAAGCGUUGUCCGGAAUUAUUGGGCGUAAAGCGCGCGCAGGCGGCUUCCCAAGUCCCUCUUAAAAGUGCGGGGCUUAACCCCGUGAUGGGAAGGAAACUGGGAAGCUGGAGUAUCGGAGAGGAAAGUGGAAUUCCUAGUGUAGCGGUGAAAUGCGUAGAGAUUAGGAAGAACACCGGUGGCGAAGGCGACUUUCUGGACGAAAACUGACGCUGAGCGCGAAAGCGUGGGGAGCAAACAGGAUUAGAUACCCUGGUAGU
RNAcentral lists this ribosomal RNA (819 nucleotides) under uncultured bacterium. RNAcentral's name for it is "bacterial SSU rRNA". It matches the Rfam family "Bacterial small subunit ribosomal RNA", at positions 8 to 794 of the family's 1533-position model. The record is from RNAcentral.